GAUGAACGCUGGCGGCGUGCCUAAUACAUGCAAGUCGAGCGAACAGAUGAGGAGCUUGCUCCUCUGACGUUAGCGGCGGACGGGUGAGUAACACGUGGAUAACCUACCUAUAAGACUGGGAUAACUUCGGGAAACCGGAGCUAAUACCGGAUAAUAUAUUGAACCGCAUGGUUCAAUAGUGAAAGACGGUUUUGCUGUCAUUUAUAGAUGGAUCCGCGCCGCAUUAGCUAGUUGGUAAGGUAACGGCUUACCAAGGCAACGAUGCGUAGCCGACCUGAGAGGGUGAUCGGCCACACUGGAACUGAGACACGGUCCAGACUCCUACGGGAGGCAGCAGUAGGGAAUCUUCCGCAAAGGGCGAAAGCCUGACGGAGCAACGCCGCGUGAGUGAUGAAGGUCUUCGGAUCGUAAAACUCUGUUAUUAGGGAAGAACAAAUGUGUAAGUAACUAUGCACGUCUUGACGGUACCUAAUCAGAAAGCCACGGCUAACUACGUG
RNAcentral lists this ribosomal RNA (497 nucleotides) under uncultured bacterium. RNAcentral describes it as "partial 16S ribosomal RNA". It matches the Rfam family "Bacterial small subunit ribosomal RNA", at positions 28 to 507 of the family's 1533-position model. The record is from RNAcentral.